RNAcentral lists this ribosomal RNA (394 nucleotides) under uncultured cyanobacterium. RNAcentral describes it as "bacterial SSU rRNA". It matches the Rfam family "Bacterial small subunit ribosomal RNA", at positions 356 to 765 of the family's 1533-position model. Lineage: Bacteria; Bacillati; Cyanobacteriota. The record is from RNAcentral.
GGGGAAUCUUCCGCAAUGGGCGAAAGCCUGACGGAGCAAGACCGCGUGGGGGAGGAAGGCUCUAGGGUUGUAAACCCCUUUUCUUUGGGAAGAAGUUCUGACGGUACCAAAGGAAUCAGCCUCGGCUAACUCCGUGCCAGCAGCCGCGGUAAUACGGAGGAGGCAAGCGUUAUCCGGAAUGAUUGGGCGUAAAGCGUCCGCAGGUGGCCAUGUAAGUCUGCUGUCAAAACCCAGGGCUCAACUCUGGUCAGGCAGUGGAAACUACGUAGCUAGAGUCUGGUAGGGGCAAAGGGAAUUCCCGGUGUAGCGGUGAAAUGCGUAGAGAUCGGGAAGAACAUCGGUGGCGAAAGCGCUUUGCUAGACCAGAACUGACACUCAGGGACGAAAGCUAGGG